CCUACGGGUGGCAGCAGUGAGGAAUAUUGGUCAAUGGACGAGAGUCUGAACCAGCCAAGUAGCGUGAAGGAUGACUGCCCUAUGGGUUGUAAACUUCUUUUAUAAAGGAAUAAAACGAGGCACGUGUGCCUUUUUCCAUGUCCUUUAUGAAUAAGGAUCGGCUAACUCCGUGCCAGCAGCCGCGGUAAUACGGAGGAUCCGAGCGUUAUCCGGAUUUAUUGGGUGUAAAGGGAGCGUAGAUGGGUUGGUAAGUCAGUUGUGAAAGUUUGCGGCUCAACCGUAAAAUUGCAAUUGAUACUGGCAGUCUUGAGUACAGGUGAGGUAGGCGGAAUUCGUGGUGUAGCGGUGAAAUGCUUAGAUAUCACGAAGAACCCCGAUUGCGAAGGCAGCUUACUAAACUGUGACUGACAUUGAUGCUCGAAAGUGUGGGUAGCAAACAGGAUUAGAUACCCGUGUAGUC
RNAcentral lists this ribosomal RNA (460 nucleotides) under uncultured bacterium. Its description in RNAcentral is "partial 16S ribosomal RNA". It matches the Rfam family "Bacterial small subunit ribosomal RNA", at positions 338 to 795 of the family's 1533-position model. The record is from RNAcentral.